GUGAGGAAUAUUGGUCAAUGGACGAGAGUCUGAACCAGCCAAGUCGCGUGAAGGAAGACGGUUCUAUGAAUUGUAAACUUCUUUUGUGCAGGAAUAAAGUGGGUUACGUGUAACCUUUUGUAUGUACUGUACGAAUAAGGAUCGGCUAACUCCGUGCCAGCAGCCGCGGUAAUACGGAGGAUCCGAGCGUUAUCCGGAUUUAUUGGGUUUAAAGGGUGCGUAGGUGGAUUGAUAAGUCAGAGGUGAAAGUUUGCAGCUUAACUGUAAAAUUGCCGUUGAAACUGUCGGUCUUGAGUGCAAAUGAGGUAGGCGGAAUGUGUUGUGUAGCGGUGAAAUGCUUAGAUAUAACACAGAACUCCGAUUGCGAAGGCAGCUUACUGGGAUGCAACUGACACUGAUGCACGAAAGCGUGGGUAUCAAACAGGAUUAGAAACCCUGGUAGUCC
RNAcentral lists this ribosomal RNA (445 nucleotides) under uncultured bacterium. Its description in RNAcentral is "partial 16S ribosomal RNA". It matches the Rfam family "Bacterial small subunit ribosomal RNA", at positions 354 to 796 of the family's 1533-position model. The record is from RNAcentral.